This 253-nucleotide ribosomal RNA is filed under the name uncultured bacterium. Its description in RNAcentral is "partial 16S ribosomal RNA". It matches the Rfam family "Bacterial small subunit ribosomal RNA", at positions 524 to 776 of the family's 1533-position model. The record is from RNAcentral.
UACGUAGGGGGCAAGCGUUGUCCGGAUUUAUUGGGCGUAAAGAGCGUGUAGGCGGCCAUGCAGGUCCGCUGUGAAAACUCGAGGCUCAACCUCGAGACGUCGGCGGAAACCAUCUGGCUAGAGUCCGGAAGAGGAGAGUGGAAUUCCUGGUGUAGCGGUGAAAUGCGCAGAUAUCAGGAAGAACACCCGUGGCGAAGGCGGCUCUCUGGGACGGUACUGACGCUGAGACGCGAAAGCGUGGGGAGCGAACAGG